AUAUACCUUUAAAUCCAGCCUUGUGCGUAUGUGGUGAGGAUUGCUAUGAGGAGGUGUGGGUGUUUCAUUUUAGGGACUAAUCACUUGUUAAAGUUGAAUGACCUUUAAGUUGGGGUGGUCUGAAGGAAUUAGUAUUAGAGAAAUACUGGGUGUUUGUGAAGACAACAUUUGUGAUAAAAAUAGGAGUGAAAGAAAGGAUUUAGAGAUGUCAACUGAAAGAGAAAGGGGUUGUUGUAGUAGUGUGGGAUUGUUCUAUUAAGAGUGAAGGAGAGAAAGUUUAAGGAAGGAGAAAGAAGAAGGUGAUAGCCGAAUUACAUGAGAUAAUGGGCAUAGAGUUUUACUGUGAUAGAAAGGAAGUGGAAUGAAUAAGAAAUGGGUUUAACUAUUGGGAGAGUUAGUAACAGUAAAGAAAGAAGACAAGAUAAUUAGAAAGAAUAAUUUUGGAGUUCUGUAAUGUUAAACGAAAUGAGUUUAGGUGGCGAGAAAGGAGAGUUACAAGAUGCUUCUGGGAUGUUAAAGUGAGAGAGAAUAAUUUGCAGAGGAGUUAAAUAUUCUGUGAUGUAUUUAAGAUGAGGAUGUUAUAAUGUGGAAAUAUAUUAUAAAGGAAGAAAGUGGUGAAAGAAGUGCAGGGGAAAUACUAAAGAGACCAAAUGUGGGUGUUUAAAUAAUGCAUGGGUUCUCUGUUUAUGGUUAAUGUUACGUGAAGAAGAAAAGCAUUAUGGAGUUUAGAAAGAGAGAAAGUGAGAAGAUUGGGGUAUGUUAGGUUAGUAUUGGGAUAUAUAUAUAUAUAUAUAUAUAUAUAUAUAUAUAUAUAGGGGUUUGCUAACUUGCGUAUGCCUGUUUUUCAGUUGGUACAUUUUAGCAAUGUGUACCGGAUUUCAAUAGACAAAAAUACCCUUAUAUAUCAUGAAUUAAGUUUUAAGGUUAAGGAUAUUUUAAUAAUUUUCAUUUUCAAAAUUAAAAAAAUAAAAAAAGAAACCCUCCAAACCCUUGCCCACCUCUCUCAUCUCUCACAACCCUUCCUCUUUCAUCUCUUUCACUC
RNAcentral lists this long non-coding RNA (1042 nucleotides) under Vigna radiata. Its description in RNAcentral is "long non-coding RNA (VRAD_LNC006379)". Lineage: Eukaryota; Viridiplantae; Streptophyta; Magnoliopsida; Fabales; Fabaceae. The record is from RNAcentral.